GUCGCAUAUGUACCUGUCGUGAAUGCCAGCACCAUCAAUGCCAUGGCGAAAACAAUAAACACAGAUGCCCAAGAGUAUAACAAAAGGAACAGCCUCUUGUUUCCUUGCAUUGCCAUGAAAAAGUGGAUAAGUACAGAUGUUGUAGAGAGCACAAGCGCGAGAGAAUCUGAUAUAAGAAAGGCUUUGAAGGCUGCUCUUCUUGUUAAUACUGCAAUCCCUUGGUCGGUACCCUUCUCACUGUUGUAACCACCAGGCAGUGUGAAACCUGCCGCGAAAGUUACGGUUGCCAUGAGUGUGGCCACAAUCAGAUGGGCAUCUUUGG
This 322-nucleotide unclassified non-coding RNA is filed under the name Hevea brasiliensis (rubber tree). The record is from RNAcentral. Lineage: Eukaryota; Viridiplantae; Streptophyta; Magnoliopsida; Malpighiales; Euphorbiaceae.